Molecule: non-coding RNA, 72 nt
Organism: Acanthoscelides obtectus
Lineage: Eukaryota; Metazoa; Arthropoda; Insecta; Coleoptera; Chrysomelidae
Source: the annotation of a GenBank genome assembly
GCCUAUGUAGCCCAGUGGCAGAGCACUGGUCUUGUAAAACAGGAGUCGUGAGUUCAAUUCUCUAAGGAGGCG